AAGCUUAGUUUCAUAUAAAUGCAUGGAUAAUUUGUUGUUUUGUCAUUAGUGAAAAACAAUAUUGACCUUAGUAGUUAAAAAAGGAGCAUCAUAUAAAAAUGACAUUUCCUCCUAUGGAGUCCGUUCAUUCACAUUCGGAGAUCGCCUAUCUUUGACUGGGAAAAUGGCGUAAACAACAACUGCUAACGUGAGUUCAAAACCUUUCUUUUUAGUAAACUCUGUGUAGGCCACACAAACAAUGUUAUCAAUACCUGCGUUCAUGUGUAGAGCCCCUGGGGAUACUUCAAGCAAAGUUUCAUGUCAUGUUGAGCCUUCUUAGUGUUUUAAAAAUAGACUCCCAUUCAAAAGGUAAUUUGACCGAAAAACAAGAAUAGGGUAAAUGUUAAAAGUGACACUUCCGUCCUAAAUAUGCUUUUAAACGAAAGUUUGACUCGG
Etheostoma spectabile (orangethroat darter) is the source of this 435-nucleotide long non-coding RNA. RefSeq lists it as uncharacterized. The transcript is spliced from 2 exons. Lineage: Eukaryota; Metazoa; Chordata; Actinopteri; Perciformes; Percidae. The record is from RefSeq and is a predicted model, not a curated record.